AUUUUAAACUAACCGGACUAUGCAUUUCCCAAACACACUAUGGCGCCAUUGGCUUCAACAGUGGUCACGUGCCUAUCAUUCUCUUUACACACACAGCGCUAGGAGGACACCCGCGGAAAAGGAACUCUCCCAGCCAAGGAUUUAUCCGUUUAAACAACCACAACUUUAUUGAAACGCCGGCGAACAACAACAACACAGGCAAUUUCGGACCGAUCAAUAUUAUGACACUACUUUGUUGAUGUGCGUGUGUCCCCGUUGCCUUCCCGUGUGUGGCGGGAAUAAUUUGAUUCAUAGUUUCUCUAGUCGUAUUUCUUCAGCUCGACGUCCUGUCGUGAGGGCUCGACUAGCGUGAGAGCAGUUACUUAUUUCUGGAGCAUACCAGUGAUGUAACAGACGUUAAUAUGGAUGAUGAUGUUAAAGAAAUGGUUUGGGAGAGUGAAAAUAACUCUACAUUUAAAGCACAUUAUAAAGAGACUGCACACAAUUCCUCUUAUGCCUUCAACUUUCAGUUUCCUGCAUUGCAAUAUAAGCAUUUUGAGAUAUCGGGAAUGAAUUCUAUUCAUAAACCAAAUUUUGUCUCAG
Molecule: long non-coding RNA, 582 nt
Organism: Xenopus laevis (African clawed frog)
Lineage: Eukaryota; Metazoa; Chordata; Amphibia; Anura; Pipidae
Exons: 4
Source: RefSeq, a predicted model, not a curated record